GAGACCUUUAAGUCAGUCCAGAGAGGCUGGCAAGGGAAAUAUGACAAACAGUUAUAGCUAUACAAAGCUUCCCUCAGAGGUUGCUUAUUUAAAAGCCUCUUGCCUCUCGGCAGGAGGUUUUUCUUAU
Non-coding RNA from Chloroflexi bacterium RBG_13_48_17, 127 nucleotides. Lineage: Bacteria; Bacillati; Chloroflexota. The record is from Rfam.